Long non-coding RNA from Prunus persica (peach), 1446 nucleotides. RefSeq lists it as uncharacterized. The transcript is spliced from 6 exons. Lineage: Eukaryota; Viridiplantae; Streptophyta; Magnoliopsida; Rosales; Rosaceae. The record is from RefSeq and is a predicted model, not a curated record.
GCAUCUGCUACUUCCGGAAUCAACUGAGGAAUGCACAUAAAAUGGCCCCUAUCUCUAUGAAACCCUCAGUUUCCCCCAAAAUCCCUACCAUGGCCCUAGCUUCCAGUGUUCGCCUUUCUUCCUCCAUCCUCCGCUACCGCCUCGCUGCCCCACUCUACCCGACCCGAUUUUCCAGUCUCCGUACCUGUCGGAGCUCCGCUUCCUGUCCGCAUCGUCCUCCCGUCCCGGGACCCACAUCCGCCCAAUCAAAGCGAGGCUCCAGGACGACCCCCAAAAGGAGGACCCAGGCGAGGGGCAGAACGGGAAUGGAAGUGUGCUGGUCAAGGACACAAGUGAGAACAGCGAAGAAAGAAUCGUUCGUGUUGAGCUCCACAAGUAGGCCACUGAAGCGUACAUGGCUAUGUCUGUCCUGCUCGGCCGCGCCCUGCUGGAUGUUCGCGACGGUUUGAAGCGGGUGCACCGUCGUAUUUACUAAGGUUGAAUGGUGAAUGAUGUGGGAGCACUACCUGGCUGGAUUUACUAGGUUGAUGAAAACAGCGACAGCGACUCUACGUAGAUUUUCUUUGCGAUUAGCCUUGAAGCCCUGACAGACAUAACCACGCUAAACCAGUCCAGAUUCUUCAAAGGGAUUUGAAAACGCUCUUGACAUUCGGUGAUGAGUUUUUUGAUGAAGUAUCAUCACUGUUUCUGCCGAUGGUCAUUUACAGGAUUUCUCCCUACGAUUCCCACUAAUUCAAGGGCAUGGGAAUUUCGGGUCGAUUGAUGCUGAUCCUGCAGCUGCCAUGCGUUACACAGAGUGCAUAUUGGAGUAUUCAUAAUGGGCAACCUAAGCAGAUGGGUCUAAAGGAGUUGCUGCAGCAGAUUCUAAACACGCGUCCAAAGGAUCAAGAGCUGUGGGGACAUCAGAUCAGAUUAUGGUAUUAAAGUAUUGGAAAAUGCCGAAGGUGAACUGGUGCGUUCACUUGAGAAUCGUGGAGUUUCAGCAAGUGAGGAUGGUAUUAAGGUACUUGAAAAAACAUUCACUUGAGAAUCAUGAAGUUUUUGCCUUUGGGCUGUCUUACUGAAGUGUUGGGAAGGUAAAAUUGUUGCAUCAGAUUUAUCAAGCGACUCAAAUUUACUAAGUGAUUAGAAAUGUUGUUAACUAAAAAAAUUAUGUUGCAAGAAUCUAUAAUUGACACAUUUAGUACUUCCAAUUCUGCCCAUGAAACAAACAACGAAGUGCUCAAAAUCGAGGUUUUAGUAGUAAAUGAGUAUGAUACCUUGCGUUAAGUAAGGGAAGUUCUUUCGAGAGCCAUGUUGGACUUGGGUUCGUUGGAAACAAGGCUAGCAUUUCAUUAUUCAUAUGAAGAUACCCCUUUCAUGGUAUCUUGUGAUGCACAUGAGCAUCCUAACAUGAUCGUUAUGGACCAUAGCUUUGUUGUUUAGUUAGGUUAGGUAAAAUCAAGA